AGAUUAGCUUGCUUAAAUUGUCAGCUAAGUGGCGCACGGGUGAGUAAUGUAUAGGUAAUAUGCCUCUUACUAAGGGAUAACAAAUGGAAACGUUUGCUAAUACCUUAUACUCCUUAUUAACAGAAGUUAAUAAGGGAAAGAUUUAUUGGUAAGAGAUUAGCCUGUAUUGUAUCAGUUAGUUGGUGGGGUAAUGGCUUACCAAGACUAUGACACGUAACUGGUUUGAGAGGAUGAUCAGUCACACUGGAACUGAGACACGGUCCAGACUCCUACGGGAGGCAGCAGUGGGGAAUAUUGCACAAUGGACGGAAGUCUGAUGCAGCAACGCCGCGUGGAGGAUGACACAUUUCGGUGCGUAAACUCCUUUUAUAUGAGAAGAUAAUGACGGUAUUAUAUGAAUAAGCACCGGCUAACUCCGUGCCAGCAGCCGCGGUAAUACGGGGGGUGCAAGCGUUACUCGGAAUCACUGGGCGUAAAGAGCAUGUAGGCGGAUUAAUAGGUUUGAAGUGAAAUCCUAUAGCUUAACUAUAGAACUGCUUUGAAAACUGUUAAUCUAGAAUGUGGGAGAGGUAGAUGGAAUUUCUGGUGUAGGGGGU
Molecule: ribosomal RNA, 596 nt
Filed under: uncultured Arcobacter sp.
Lineage: Bacteria; Pseudomonadati; Campylobacterota; Epsilonproteobacteria; Campylobacterales; Arcobacteraceae
Description: bacterial SSU rRNA
Rfam family: Bacterial small subunit ribosomal RNA
Source: RNAcentral